RNAcentral lists this non-coding RNA (28 nucleotides) under Homo sapiens (human). Lineage: Eukaryota; Metazoa; Chordata; Mammalia; Primates; Hominidae. The record is from RNAcentral.
UAUGUAGAUGACAUUCUCCUCUGUGCCC